Molecule: ribosomal RNA, 253 nt
Filed under: uncultured bacterium
Lineage: Bacteria
Description: partial 16S ribosomal RNA
Rfam family: Bacterial small subunit ribosomal RNA
Source: RNAcentral
UACGUAGGGGGCGAGCGUUGUCCGGAUUCAUUGGGCGUAAAGCGCGCGCAGGCGGCUUCGCAAGUCGGCCGUGAAAUCUCCAGGCUCAACCUGGAGGGGUCGGGCGAGACUGCGGGGCUCGAGGUGGGCAGAGGGCAGUGGAAUUCCGGGUGUAGUGGUGGAAUGCGUAGAGAUCCGGAGGAACACCAGUGGCGAAGGCGGCUGCCUGGGCCUGGCCUGACGCUGAGGCGCGAAAGCGUGGGGAGCGAUCCGG